Molecule: non-coding RNA, 1059 nt
Organism: Maylandia zebra (zebra mbuna)
Lineage: Eukaryota; Metazoa; Chordata; Actinopteri; Cichliformes; Cichlidae
Source: RefSeq, a predicted model, not a curated record
GGGCAGUAAGGGCAAGGAACUCGAGAGGCGAAAGUUAAUUGGUCAUUACACUACAACACCGGCGCGUGUCAGAGCAGAUGCUGUAAUAAAUCAUCCACAUGGAGGUAAGCAGGAGGAUGAUGAUGAGGAAAAUCUGCAGAAGAGAUCUUCAGUUCGGGUUCAUCCUUGCUUCCCUCCUGACAAGGUGAAUUUAUGUUGUUUGACUGGUGGACCUCCUCUGUUUCCUUGUCCUGGGCCAUCAUUCUGCAGGGUUCACAUUGAUUUCCUGUGGUCAAACAGUUAAACUCAUAGCAAGAGCUGAUAGACAUGGCUACUCUCUCUGCUCACAGACUGCCACUUCUGCACCAUGAAUGACGGGUACCACGAAGCUGCUGGAAUGAUUUCCUGGACCUGCUAAAGGAAGCAACUUUUAAGGAUCUCUUCCGGAUACGGAUGGCAUGACACUAAUUUUAUGGUCUGCGUUAUCAGUUGUGUUAUCAGGCGAUUGUGGCAAUGGGUUGGUAAGGAUUUAUGCGAAUGCGUGUGCAAAGUGAUGAACAGCCACAAAUUUUACCCAUGAUAUAAAGUGAUCUACCAUCUAUUUUAUCGUAUAAAUUGUGGCAGAUGUUGCACAUGAUCGAGAUCUGUGUCCUCAACGAAGUUUCAACUGAGUAGCGUGACUGAGAACUUACAAACGUAUGAGGCAGCAUUGCUCUUUUCAUCCGGGUGGGGCUGAGAUUUGAGGUGCUUCUUUCUUGAAACACUCCUUUGUCCUAAUGAAAUAAUUCUUUGUGUGCCUUGCUUUUUUUUUCUUCGAAGCAUAAGGUUUAAAGCAUGAAUAAUGCUUUAUUCAAAAGGUUAAACAGUAUUAACAAAUCAACUAAAUCUUUGUCCCCUGUGUUCCAACUGCUAUGAGGUCAAUAAUUUAUUUGUUUCCAACUUUAAUGUAGUUUAGUGUAAUUUUUUUUUUUUUAAAGCUAGUAGAUGUAAUAAGAUUUAUUACUCAAUUUGAAAAAUAAAAAAAUAAUAAUAAAGAAAACUUAAAGAAAUAUUAAUAGCAUUUUCAAAUAUCACAAUACA